This is a long non-coding RNA of Drosophila ficusphila, 146 nucleotides long. RefSeq lists it as uncharacterized. NCBI's taxonomy places the organism in Eukaryota, Metazoa, Arthropoda, Insecta, Diptera, Drosophilidae. The record is from RefSeq and is a predicted model, not a curated record. The transcript is spliced from 2 exons.
GGAUUAAUGACAACAAACGGCCGUCUCACAACCGCGUUCGUUUGGACCAUGGUAAAACAAGAAGGGGAUAUCUCGUCGGGUCCAUAAGUCCGUUAACAAAAUUUUCAAUGAGAAGUUGCCUAACGGACAACGUUUUCCUAAUCUGU